CGCAUCACGGAUGGGCAAGGUUUCCCCGGCCUAAGGCCAUCGGGGAAUGAAAUGGGAAUGCGGUGAGGGGGAUCCAACCAGGACCCCGAUGCCGCAGCCGCCCCCGCGACUGUAAGCGGUGAGCGCGGUGCCACGAAGCCACUGGGGCAUGCCCCGGGAAGGCGGCACCAAGCUUCGACCCGCAAGCCAGGAGACCAGCCCUGCGCGACGUGAACCC
This 217-nucleotide non-coding RNA is filed under the name Jannaschia rubra. Lineage: Bacteria; Pseudomonadati; Pseudomonadota; Alphaproteobacteria; Rhodobacterales; Roseobacteraceae. The record is from RNAcentral.